UCCAUACCGAUUAGCGGACUGUCUUGAGAGAGCGGGAGAACGAUGCACCAUUCUGUGACUGAAGAGGGCAACAGCCUGAACUACACAACUGUGUUGCCAACCGUGUUUGGGUGUCCUCUCUGCCCCACAUUGACCACCAAAAGUAAAAGUGGCAUCCAGAGGCACCUGCAGAAUCAUGUGGCAAAUGCAGUGCAUUUCAAGGAUAAGAUCAUCUGCAGAUGCAAUCUGCACUGCAGAGAUGGAGGCCAUUUCCAUUGUCAA
This is a long non-coding RNA of Myripristis murdjan (pinecone soldierfish), 261 nucleotides long. RefSeq lists it as uncharacterized. The record is from RefSeq and is a predicted model, not a curated record. NCBI's taxonomy places the organism in Eukaryota, Metazoa, Chordata, Actinopteri, Holocentriformes, Holocentridae. The transcript is spliced from 3 exons.